Molecule: non-coding RNA, 1443 nt
Organism: Meleagris gallopavo (turkey)
Lineage: Eukaryota; Metazoa; Chordata; Aves; Galliformes; Phasianidae
Source: RefSeq, a predicted model, not a curated record
CCCGCCCACCCGGCGCGCGGCGGCUGCGCUGAGGGGAGGCGGGCGGCAGGUAGAAAAGAGGCGUUUUAUUGGUGAGGUCAGUCUUGUCCCAGCGUCCCCCGGAAAGGACGAAGCGUUUCUGCCGGUUGCGCCCGUUCUGGCCGUCCGGCAGCACCGGGAGGUCUGGCACACCACAACGGGGUGUGAUGUUUUCGAGACAUGUCCUGGAAGAGAAAAGCAAAGCUGUCACUUCUGUGUCUGGGAUAUGAGAGGUCUUGAUGGAGGGAUGGACAUCUACCAACAGCAGACCUGCAGAGGGCCAGGAGGCACCAGGCAGCUGCUUCAAGGCACACGGAGAGCAGGAGUGGAGAUGGACUCCAGGGAAAGCCCGCAUUGUGGAACUGGGAUGGGAAUUAUCCAGCUAUUGUCAUUUGGUGUUGGAGCACCCAGCAGCCCCAGUCUGGGUAUGGGGUGUUGGCAGUGCAGCCCUCGCCCACACCUCCUACUGGCACAGCCUGAGGAAGUCACCACGUUCUGUCUCAGAGGAGCGAGCCUCCUUUCCCAGCUCAGCCCUUUGGCUCCCUUCUCAUUCAUCACCCGACAGCACAAGGUGCACAGGAAGGAAAACAGCUGCAGUUAGACAUGGGGAAACAUCUCUUUGUGCGAAAGGACUAAAAUUAGCCAGGAGAGCAUGUGAUGGCAUGGCAGAGCUCUCUUACGAGGGCAGAGAAGGGAUGAGGCCAGAAAUUCAUGUGUAGGCCACUGACAACCAUGCAGUCCUCCUCCCUGCAGUCACUGCUCCACCCCACAAUGUACCCUAGCAGGGGCACUGGGAGUGGGAUGAGGCACAUUGCUGUCAUCUUACUUGCCGAGAGCAACCACUGUGAUGCUGGCUGUACUUGGAGGCACUAGAAUGCCCUUCAGGAGCCUUGACACCAGAUAAGGAACAUGUACCCAAAAGGAAAUCUGGGAUGAUCCUUUCUAUCUGGAAGGAUGGAAAAACAUCUGUCCAUUUCAACCCUCAAAGCAGCACAGCCACUCUCUGCAAAGACUGAAUGAAACGCUGAUUUACAACCCUGAUCUCCACGUGGCUGAUCAAACACACCAGCACGAGAUGUUCCUUAGCAAAACAUAUUUGUAGGGGUAUCACGUGGAGUUACUCCAGCCAAGACAAAAGUAUGAGCACUCAGGAUGCGGAGCGCUAACCCAGAGUGAGGAGGAAACAGUCUCAGGACAGCAGGCUACCAGCUGGGGGUCCGGCCAGCCCUCGCAGCCGGCCGGCAGCUGCACGCACCAUGGGAGGAACGCGAACGGUGCGAGGAUCGGACCCACGUUUGUAGGAUGUGACACACGUGACCGGCUCUCCCGUCCCCUGGGAACCUCGCGAGUCCUCGCUGGCAGCAGGACCAAAGCCCGCUCAGGUCCCUUCGGGAGCGGCAGCAUCCCAGGCUGCGUGCGGCCCCC